This 336-nucleotide ribosomal RNA is filed under the name uncultured Pseudomonadota bacterium. RNAcentral describes it as "bacterial SSU rRNA". It matches the Rfam family "Bacterial small subunit ribosomal RNA", at positions 29 to 351 of the family's 1533-position model. The record is from RNAcentral. Lineage: Bacteria; Pseudomonadati; Pseudomonadota.
AGCGAACGCUGGCGGCGUGCCUAACACAUGCAAGUCGAACGUGAAAGUCCUUCGGGAUGAGUAAAGUGGCGUACGGGUGAGUAACACGUAGGUAAUCUACCUUACAGUCUGGAAUAACCGGCCGAAAGGCUGGCUAAUACUGGAUAGAGCGACGGAAUCCGUAAUUGGGUUUUUCGGGAAAGGGAGCUAGCAAUAGCCUUCGCUGUAAGAUGAGCCUGCGUCUGAUUAGCUAGUUGGUGGGGUAAUGGCCCACCAAGGCUGUGAUCAGUAGCUGGUCUGAGAGGAUGAUCAGCCACACUGGAACUGAAACACGGUCCAGACUCCUACGGGAGGCAG